Molecule: unclassified non-coding RNA, 253 nt
Filed under: uncultured Bacillaceae bacterium
Lineage: Bacteria; Bacillati; Bacillota; Bacilli; Caryophanales; Bacillaceae
Description: contains 16S-23S intergenic spacer region
Rfam family: Bacterial small subunit ribosomal RNA
Source: RNAcentral
UACGUAGGGGGCAAGCGUUGUCCGGAAUUAUUGGGCGUAAAGCGCGCGCAGGCGGUUCCUUAAGUCUGAUGUGAAAGCCCACGGCUCAACCGGGGAGGGUCAUUGGAAACUGGCGGACUUGAGUGCAGAAGAGGAGAGUGGAAUUCCAUGUGUAGCGGUGAAAUGCGCAGAGAUAUGGAGGAACACCAGUGGCGAAGACGGCUCUCUGGUCUGCAACUGACGCUGAGGAGCGAAAGCGUGGGGAGCGAACAGG